AAAAAGAACCUGAAACCGUGUACGUACAAGCAGUGGGAGCACAGGUUUACCUGUGUGACUGCGUACCUUUUGUAUAAUGGGUCAGCGACUUAUAUUCUGUAGCAAGGUUAACCGUAUAGGGGAGCCGGAGGGAAACCGAGUCUUAACCGGGCGUUAAGUUGCAGGGUAUAGACCCGAAACCCGGUGAUCUAGCCAUGGGCAGGUUGAAGGUUGGGUAACACUAACUGGAGGACCGAACCGACUAAUGUUGAAAAAUUAGCGGAUGACCUGUGGCU
RNAcentral lists this ribosomal RNA (275 nucleotides) under Salmonella enterica. RNAcentral describes it as "partial 23S ribosomal RNA". It matches the Rfam family "Bacterial large subunit ribosomal RNA", at positions 541 to 816 of the family's 2925-position model. The record is from RNAcentral. Lineage: Bacteria; Pseudomonadati; Pseudomonadota; Gammaproteobacteria; Enterobacterales; Enterobacteriaceae. RNAcentral also lists the same sequence under 4 other names.